UCGGGAAUAUUGCGGCAAUGGAGGAAACUCUGACGCAGUGACGCCGCGUAUAGGAAGAAGGUUUUCGGAUUGUAAACUAUUGUCGUGAGGGAAGAAAUUGACAGUACCUCAGGAGGAAGCUCCGGCUAACUAUGUGCCAGCAGCCGCGGUAAUACAUAGGGAGCAAGCGUUAUCCGGAUUUAUUGGGUGUAAAGGGUGCGUAGACGGGAAAUUAAGUUAGUUGUGAAAUCCCUUGGCUUAACUGAGGAACUGCAACUAAAACUGGUUUCUUGAGUACUGGAGAGGAAAGUGGAAUUCCUAGUGUAGCGGUGAAAUGCGUAGAUAUUAGGAGGAACACCAGUGGC
Molecule: ribosomal RNA, 344 nt
Filed under: uncultured Acetivibrio sp.
Lineage: Bacteria; Bacillati; Bacillota; Clostridia; Acetivibrionales; Acetivibrionaceae
Description: bacterial SSU rRNA
Rfam family: Bacterial small subunit ribosomal RNA
Source: RNAcentral